UCUUAUUCUCUUCCUUAAUCCUAUUCUAAACUCAGAUUAAUCUUUAUAUUCCUAAAAGUCAUAACAAGCUCUUGGACAAGGAGUUUUGGCUUGAGGUUCAUGACACCUCUCCAUCCUCCUUUGCUUCCAAUGAGACUCUCUCCAUCAGGUUCAGACAGCAACGGCUUGAGGGACAGGAUAACACUCCAUGGCUUCAAGUCUCUUCUUCUUCAAGAGCUGAACUCGGAUGGAUAUGACUUCAAGGGUUUGGUUUGAGCUGAGAUGAGAGCUGUGGAUUUGCGGAAGCUCAGCUCAGGUUCUGAUGAACCUGGCUCUGAUACCAUAUGAGAUUUGAGAGCUCUGGCUGUGUAUGUGUAUGAGAAGCCAUUAGAGGCAAAGAAUAAGGUCUUGAACUAGUUGAAUAAGAGGUCUGACGAAACUAGUAUGAACUUGAAUCAGAAACAAAGAGACUUUGAGAGAUUAAGAGAUUAGAGACUAAGAAAGGGGUAGAUUAAGGGAAUCUGAUCAAGAACACACUUUUAUAAUUAUGAAGGAGAUGGGAAAACCCCC
Molecule: long non-coding RNA, 549 nt
Filed under: Brassica rapa (field mustard)
Lineage: Eukaryota; Viridiplantae; Streptophyta; Magnoliopsida; Brassicales; Brassicaceae
Description: long non-coding RNA (BRAP_LNC008704)
Source: RNAcentral